GUAAAUGUAGAUUUAUCAGAAGGGGAAAAUGAGAGAUGGCCAAAAACAAGGUGCACGGUUGCUGAAGCACAGUUGACAUAUGGACCUCAGGAGAAGUGCUGACCUCACCCUUUCUAAUGAAUGUGAUCUAUAUUGCUCACACAGAGAAGGCUACUGUCAGGAAAUGGAGCACCACCUAACCCUGCUCUGGAUCCUCCUGCAGGCUGUGGGGCCCCUGGCAGCUAGAGCCCUGCCUUUGGGCAAGGAAUGACAUAGGCUCUCCCGUGCCGAGGGGCUGGCUCUGGGAGCCCGAGGCACCCCCUCAUGCACCUGGGCCUCUCUGGGGGACGUCCAGGCAAGGCCCUACCCUGGCACUGGGCUCCAGACUUUCUUCAGCUGUGUCAAGAGGAGGGAAACCAGCUCCUGAAACCCUUGGUGGAGAUUAUCUGGACCCUGCAGGGCUUGAAGAGGCUAGGAAGAAUGAGUAAGGAAGAGGACACCAACAGCCCUGAGAAAUGGCUCCAGGAAGACACGACCAUCAUUGCACAGUUCCACCUAAACCAGGACUGGACACUGAAGUAAAUCGGGUAGGAGAAUACACUUCCCGUUUAUAAAAAUAUCCUUCCUGUGUGGAAGAGCCCUCUUCCUGCAAACACUCAUCUGUGUACAGCAUCCCGGACCUGUUUCUGUGUGGACACAGGCAGAGCCAUUGGGGGCAGGGAGUGCAGCUAUUACAGAUAUUCCAUCAGCCUGAAGUACCAAAGAAAUGAACAUAUUGGUUGUAGCACCUCUGGAAAUCAAAUACAGCCCCAAGCAACCCCAGGAGUCACUCAAGAUGCCAUCCUUCUGGAAUGAGGGGCUUUAUCUCUGGCUUACAGUUAAAUCUAUCUGUGACGACUUCCGGAACCGGUGUCUUGCUGCCAUGAACUUAUUUUGCCAACUUAUACACAGUGUAUCCGCCUCUUGUGAUUUGGUUGUGGCUCAUGGCUCACACGUUCACAGAAGCUGAGGAUUUGAGCUGUGUGCAUGAACUGAUACAUUAAAAAUAAAAUUAAAUCUCAAAAGGUGGUGAGCUGUAUG
RNAcentral lists this long non-coding RNA (1059 nucleotides) under Parus major (Great Tit). RNAcentral's name for it is "lncRNA (ENSPMJG00000014391.1)". Lineage: Eukaryota; Metazoa; Chordata; Aves; Passeriformes; Paridae. The record is from RNAcentral.